UGCAUUUCUACCACUUGUUCU
Molecule: non-coding RNA, 21 nt
Filed under: Caenorhabditis elegans
Lineage: Eukaryota; Metazoa; Nematoda; Chromadorea; Rhabditida; Rhabditidae
Source: RNAcentral